Molecule: long non-coding RNA, 662 nt
Filed under: Homo sapiens (human)
Lineage: Eukaryota; Metazoa; Chordata; Mammalia; Primates; Hominidae
Description: HSALNT0054955
Source: RNAcentral
GGCUGAGGUGGGAGGAUUCCUUGAGCCUCGGAGGUCAAGGCUGCAGUGAGCCCUGAUGGUGCCACUGCACUCCAGCUUGGCCGACAGAACGAGACCUUGACUCCAAAAUAGCAAUACUACUGUCUGUCAGGGCUAUGAAGCCACAUGAGACUUGACCCAUUAAGGACAAGAGUGAAGAAAAAUGUAUCAAAUAGAAAUAAUUUUAUCUAAACACUGGCAAGAGGAAAAAGACAUGGAGGAGAAACUUAGAAAUGAAAAGCAGUGAGGCAUCUAUAUGGAUGAACUGAGAGAGGGGCAGUCUCAAAGUGGCAGGUGUCACAAGAGGUCACUCUCAUAAUCAACAACUGAAGACUUCCCAAAACAGCAACUCCUUGCUUUUGCCCCAGGUUUUCCGAGGCAAAAUUUACAUACCAUCAAGGUCAUCCAUGGAAAUGUUCUAGAGUUGAAAAGAAAGCUCUUUCUACAUCUGCAAGGCUGAUUCAUUUUUCUCCCUUCCAAGAACUCUACUAAAAAAAUUAUUUGUUGCUUAUCUGAAAUGCAAAUGUAACUGGAUGUCCUGUAUUUGUGAAAUUCCGGCAACCCUAAUCCAGGACCAAAGCAGAAUUAACCAAAUAAAUGAAAGUGCAUGUCUAGAAAUAAAUGUACUUUUCUGGAGCAUUGUA